This is a non-coding RNA of Punica granatum (pomegranate), 75 nucleotides long. The record is from Rfam. NCBI's taxonomy places the organism in Eukaryota, Viridiplantae, Streptophyta, Magnoliopsida, Myrtales, Lythraceae.
GCCAAUGAUGACAUGUUCAUGUAUGAGACCUGAAUUCUCAAUGUGGAAACUUUCAGAACUAGGACGGUCUGAGGC